RNAcentral lists this ribosomal RNA (495 nucleotides) under uncultured bacterium. RNAcentral's name for it is "bacterial SSU rRNA". It matches the Rfam family "Bacterial small subunit ribosomal RNA", at positions 37 to 524 of the family's 1533-position model. The record is from RNAcentral.
GAGUGGCGGGUGCCUAAACAUGCAAGUCGGACGGCAGCAGGUCCUUCGGGAUGCUGGCGAGUGGCAGACGGGUGAGUAAUGCGUAGAGACCUAUCCUUUUGUGGGGGACAACCCAGGGAAACUUGGGCUAAGACCGCAGUAAGCCAGGAGGGGGAAAGCGGGGGAUCUUCGGACCUCGUGCUGAAGGAGGGGCCUACGUCCGAUUAGCUAGUUGGUGGGGUAAAGGCCUACCAAGGCGACGAUCGGUAGCUGGUCUGAGAGGACGACCAGCCACGCUGGGACUGAGACACGGCCCAGACUCCUACGGGAGGCAGCAGGGGGGAAUUUUUCGCAAUGGGGGCAACCCUGACGAAGCAAUGCCGCGUGGAUGAAGAGGGCCUUCAGGGUUGUAAAGUCCUAGCGUGGGGGACGAAAAGGCGGAUCCGAAUACAGUCUGAGAUUGACGUGAACCCAAGAAGAAGCACCGGCUAACUCCGUGCCAGCAGCCGCGGUAAU